This 497-nucleotide ribosomal RNA is filed under the name uncultured bacterium. RNAcentral describes it as "partial 16S ribosomal RNA". It matches the Rfam family "Bacterial small subunit ribosomal RNA", at positions 28 to 507 of the family's 1533-position model. The record is from RNAcentral.
GAUGAACGCUGGCGGCGUGCCUAAUACAUGCAAGUCGAGCGAACGGACGAGAAGCUUGCUUCUCUGAUGUUAGCGGCGGACGGGUGAGUAACACGUGGAUAACCUACCUAUAAGACUGGGAUAACUUCGGGAAACCGUAGCUAAUACCGGAUAAUAUUUUGAACCGCAUGGUUCAAUAGUGAAAGACGGUCUUGCUGUCACUUAUAGAUGGAUCCGCGCUGCAUUAGCUAGUUGGUAAGGUAACGGCUUACCAAGGCAACGAUGCGUAGCCGACCUGAGAGGGUGAUCGGCCACACUGGAACUGAGACACGGUCCAGACUCCUACGGGAGGCAGCAGUAGGGAAUCUUCCGCAAUGGGCGAAAGCCUGACGGAGCAACGCCGCGUGAGUGAUGAAGGUCUUCGGAUCGUAAAACUCUGUUAUUAGGGAAGAACAAAUGUGUAAGUAACUAUGCACGUCUUGACGGUACCUAAUCAGAAAGCCACGGCUAACUACGUG